Molecule: ribosomal RNA, 762 nt
Filed under: uncultured bacterium
Lineage: Bacteria
Description: bacterial SSU rRNA
Rfam family: Bacterial small subunit ribosomal RNA
Source: RNAcentral
GCUGAACGCUGGCGGCGUGCCUAACACAUGCAAGUCGAACGGAGAUUUAACGCUGAUGAGGCUUCGGCGGAAUCUUGUUAAAUCUUAGUGGCGGACGGGUGAGUAACGCGUGGGCAACCUGCCUCGUACUGGGGGAUAACAGUUGGAAACGACUGUUAAUACCGCAUAAGCGCACGGUACCGCAUGGUACAGUGUGAAAAACUCCGGUGGUACGAGAUGGGCCCGCGUCAGAUUAGCCAGUUGGUGGGGUAACGGCCUACCAAAGCAACGAUCUGUAGCCGGACUGAGAGGUCGGACGGCCACAUUGGGACUGAGACACGGCCCAAACUCCUACGGGAGGCAGCAGUGGGGGAUAUUGCACAAUGGGCGAAAGCCUGAUGCAGCGACGCCGCGUGAGUGAAGAAGUAUUUCGGUAUGUAAAGCUCUAUCAGCAGGGAAGAAAGACUCGUAAGAGAGAUGACGGUACCUGACUAAGAAGCCCCGGCUAACUACGUGCCAGCAGCCGCGGUAAUACGUAGGGGGCAAGCGUUAUCCGGAUUUACUGGGUGUAAAGGGAGCGCAGACGGUAUAUCAAGUCUGAAGUGAAACCCCACGGCUCAACCGUGGGCUUGCUUUGGAAACUGGUAUACUAGAGUACUGGAGAGGUAAGCGGAAUUCCUGGUGUAGUAGUGAAAUGCGUAGAUAUCAGGAAGAACAUCAGUGGCGAAGGCGGCUUACUGGACAGCAACUGACGUUGAGGCUCGAAGGCGUGGGGAGCAAACA